Molecule: long non-coding RNA, 3140 nt
Organism: Hemibagrus wyckioides
Lineage: Eukaryota; Metazoa; Chordata; Actinopteri; Siluriformes; Bagridae
Exons: 5
Source: RefSeq, a predicted model, not a curated record
CCUUAAACCAACGUGUUACCUGCACGGCAAAGAGAAUAAGAGGGCAAACAGUUACAGAACUCUCAUAAACAGAGACUGCGAACAGCUUUAGAGAUUUGGGAGGCAGCAAAGAGCAGGGAGAACCUCGCUAAGAUGUGAUACUGUUAUUCACUUCCUGAUUACGGACUUGUUGAACCAUGCACUGGUCAACUGCCCUGCGUCGGUCUUGCAGGAGCUCCAUCAGUCCAUCCACUUUUCUGUAGCUGUUCCGGGCACCGCGUGCCCCACCUCCAUACCUCAGAGCCUCCUCGGCCUCGAAGCUCUUCAGAAAAUCCAACAACUCAUAACUUUUAUUCAGUGCCAGCAUGGACUUCUCCAGCAACCCUGAAGCCUGUCUCAAAAAUUCUCUCAGCGUCUUUUGAGUAAAUCACAGACGGAACUGAUUACAGUCAUCAGUAAUCACAGAGCGUGGUCGUAGAAGUGGCAGGCCAGCUGCAGGAGUGAGCGCCGUUUCUCCAAGUUGCUCUCUAACAUUUUCCAGGCCUCGCUGAGAGACAUAGCCAUGGCCUCGUACACAUCCUCCUCACCUUCCUUCUCUGCCGCUGUCUUAUCCGCCUCCUCCAGCAGCGCCCGCACGCCUCCUUCAUUUCUCUGUCACACAAAUUCAUAUUGCUUUGUGAAUCUGCAUCUUAUGCAAAUGCAAAACAGUUCCUCACAUCAGUGACAGAUCCCAACUGCAACAGAUCUGGAAUAAAACAGCAGCUCUAGUUCAAUACACAUGGAGGAUUCUUGACUUGGACACCUGACAGAGCAGAGAGUGAAGCAGCUGGCAUGAGACACACUGGAGAGUAGGAGCUAUAAUGAGGACUGGAAAAAAACGAACAGUGCAUUCUGGGGAAAUAAUAUAAAUCAGCAUUUGCUGGCAAGAGGAAGAGGACAUUCUGUGCAGGCGAAAGCAAUAAAAAUGAGAACAGCAAGUGAAACGAGGUGAGAAGGUCAUGAAUGGAGGAAAACCUGUAAGUGGGACAUGAUCCAGAGAUGGGUGUGUGGUGAUGAUGUUAUAAUAUUAAGACACAGGUUUAUGAGGAGACCUUCAAAACUACACUAAAUACACAUACUACACUAAAAAUAAUGGCAUGACGUGGAAUUUUCUCAGUCCUGUUAUAAGACAAUACAAAAAUAUACUCUUUUUUUUUUUUAAUUCAGGCAGCAUAAUCCUACCAUUUAUAAAAACAUGAAAACAUAAUUGGUACUGUUUAUUUUUUAAGCAAUUACUGAAGAAUAAAACCAAACAUCUAUUGCAAACCUUUAUCUCAAAAAGAAAGAAAAAAAGAAAAUAUAAUAAUGGAAAAUCUAAAACAUUAAUAAAAAAUGGUGAAAUGUUUUUUUUUUUUUUAAAAAAAGCAUUAAAUGCUUCUGUUGUGCUAGAGAAUAAAGCAAGAUCAUAUAAAAAUAAUCAUAUUUCCUUUUCAGAUUUCUCCACUUACCCCAAAUAUAGGUGAUUAGUCAAAAAUUUAAGCAAACAUGUUUGCUUGUUUUGUUUUGCAAAGGAGCUCACAAGUAAUAAAUGUCUUUCUCACUCUAGUCUUAGCCUCAGACACUCCUCCAAGCCUAACAUUAACCUUUAUAUUUUUAACUAUAAUUCAAUUCAAUUCAAUUUUAUUUGUAUAGCACUUUUUACAAUGGACAUUGUCUCAAAGCAGCUUUACAAAUGAAGAUAAACAGAGAAAGAAGAGGGGGAAUAAUAAAUAAAUAAAUAACUAGAAAUGAAAAAUUAUUAAAUUAAAUUUUAUCCUUAUUUAUUUUAUCCCUAAUGAGCAAGCCUGUGGCGAUGGUGGCAAGGAAAAACUCCCUGAGAUGAUAUGAGGAAGAAACGUUGAGAGGAACCAGGCUCAGAAGGGAACCUCAUCCUCAUUUGGGUGACACUGGACAGUAAAUAAUGUAACUGUAACUGAUUAAUGUCCUUUCUAUAACAGCAAUCAAUGGCCCAUGAGGAACUAUUAAGUCAGUGUAGUUUCUGAGGUUCUAAUUGGCUAUCUACAAAUCCAUGUAUACUCUCUUUGGUUUUUCCAAUUCAGAAAGAAUCACAGAAUUCCAUCUUUAUAUGUUAUCAAAGAAAAUGAGUAAACAAGAACUUUGAGAGAUACCUAUGGGAAAAUAAUGUAUGCAUGUGGCUGUUCAUCGGUCACGUCAUUGAAAUGGCCUCUUCCUGUCAAAGUAAGUUGACCACUAGGGAAGUGAAGCUAGAAGAUGGGCUUGUAUGAUUAACAUCAGUCUAGUUCUUAUGACUCUUAUGUAAAAUUAACAGUAAUAUACCUACCUGCUUGGUGUCUUGCAGCAGAGGGGCUGAAUCCUGAGCAGGGAGAGCUCAUGGUGCAAAGCAAAGACACAUUUUAGGUGAAUCUUAUUUUUAUACAUCUGAGUAGUUAAGGGUUAAGGGCCUCAAGGGCCCAGCAGAAGCAGCUUGGCAGGGCUGGGAUUUGAACUUAUGACCUUCUGGUCAGAAGAGCAACAUUUUAACCACUGCUGAGGUUACUGUGCUGAAAACUCACACAGAAACCCAAAAUAAAAAUAUCACAUUGUUCUCUUAAGCCUGCCUCCAGCAUUCUCAUUCUCUUCACAGUUAUACAACAGUUAUAUUUAUAUAUGUCCCUUUCUUUAAAUAUAUAGCAAAGAUGUAAUAUAGCAGGUAGAGUUCAGAUUUACACAUUUAAUUAUAACUAGAAAUGGAACUAAAUCAUCAUCAUCAUCAUCAUCCACCCGCCAAACUUUGGGAGUCGAAGCCUAGGGAGUGGAACGAAACCCAAUUUUAAGAGAGAUCGUGAAUAAUUCUGGUUUCUUGAGAUAGCCGCCUCCAUAAUGUCACAGCUUUCAGCUACACAGUGAAGAUUUGCUCAGGAAUACAGACGACAGUAAAUCACACCGUGUCCUUAAGCACAUCCCUGAAAAUAGUUUGAGGCAGAUAGGUACAGGAAAGAUUUUCUGUACCAGAUAAACGUUCACUGCAUGUUAUCUACCCUAGCCACAUAGCAUUGGUGCAUAUUUUAAGAAGCGCAAUAACACUGCAACAUGUCUUGACAUGAAUGAAACAUUACAUCGGAGGGAAAGCAUUCUUGCUGCUGCUACUGUUGUGGUUAUUUCAUAUUAUUUACUCAGAUAUU